GAACUGAAGAGUUUGAUCAUGGCUCAGAUUGAACGCUGGCGGCAGGCCUAACACAUGCAAGUCGAGCGGAUGAAGGGAGCUUGCUCCUGGAUUCAGCGGCGGACGGGUGAGUAAUGCCUAGGAAUCUGCCUGGUAGUGGGGGAUAACGUCCGGAAACGGGCGCUAAUACCGCAUACGUCCUGAGGGAGA
RNAcentral lists this ribosomal RNA (189 nucleotides) under Pseudomonas aeruginosa. RNAcentral describes it as "partial 16S ribosomal RNA". It matches the Rfam family "Bacterial small subunit ribosomal RNA", at positions 1 to 189 of the family's 1533-position model. Lineage: Bacteria; Pseudomonadati; Pseudomonadota; Gammaproteobacteria; Pseudomonadales; Pseudomonadaceae. The record is from RNAcentral.